AGGUUACGCAAACGAGUUGCUGCA
Molecule: non-coding RNA, 24 nt
Filed under: Arabidopsis thaliana (thale cress)
Lineage: Eukaryota; Viridiplantae; Streptophyta; Magnoliopsida; Brassicales; Brassicaceae
Source: RNAcentral